This 485-nucleotide ribosomal RNA is filed under the name uncultured bacterium. RNAcentral describes it as "bacterial SSU rRNA". It matches the Rfam family "Bacterial small subunit ribosomal RNA", at positions 30 to 507 of the family's 1533-position model. The record is from RNAcentral.
AUUGAACGCUGGCGGCAGGCUUAACACAUGCAAGUCGAGCGGGGAAGUAUAGCUUGCUAUACGACCUAGCGGCGGACGGGUGAGUAAUGCUUAGGAAUCUGCCUAUUAGUGGGGGACAACAUUCCGAAAGGAAUGCUAAUACCGCAUACGCCCUACGGGGGAAAGCAGGGGAUCUUCGGACCUUGCGCUAAUAGAUGAGCCUAAGUCAGAUUAGCUAGUUGGUGGGGUAAAGGCCUACCAAGGCGACGAUCUGUAGCGGGUCUGAGAGGAUGAUCCGCCACACUGGGACUGAGACACGGCCCAGACUCCUACGGGAGGCAGCAGUGGGGAAUAUUGGACAAUGGGCGCAAGCCUGAUCCAGCCAUGCCGCGUGUGUGAAGAAGGCCUUUUGGUUGUAAAGCACUUUAAGCGAGGAGGAGGCUACUUGGAUUAAUACUCUAGGAUAGUGGACGUUACUCGCAGAAUAAGCACCGGCUAACUCUGUG